UAUGUAUCUGUCAACAUACACAUUUUUAAUCAUUUUCAUGAUUUCAAGAGAUUUGAUUCUCUCACCAAUUGUUUAUUCUAACUUUUAUUGUAGAAUGGUGGAUAGUUUCAGAAAAUAAUAGUUUUUGCAUACCUUUGUAGGAAAUAUAGUGCAUUUUGCUCCAGUUUGUUUUGUUAACGUAUGCUGAUAUUUACGUUGCUUUUUUUUACUCGGGGAUGAUAGACCUUCUGGACGUUUUUGAAUAAUAUUUUCAGCCAGUUCCAUUGCAAUAACCACAACGGUAAUGUUUAUCAAAUUUGUGAAAAUGCUGCCUACCCGAUAUUUCACGAAAAAAUAAUUCAAAACGGCUAUUGAGCUACAAUUUUACCGAUAGAAGAGCAAACGUGUGCAUGUGUGCAUUUAUGAACAUUUAAGAAAAUGGCUGAUACGUUAAAUUCGGAAAUUUGGAAAAACUGGGAUAAAACUGGAAAGACUGAAUUUACAAAAACGUGUGUGCAACUAUUAAAAGAUGAAAAAUGUAGUCCUACAUUUGAUAAAAAGGGGAAAUUCAGUAAUCUUUCUGGAUAUAUCAAUGCCCUUAUAUCAAAUGGAAUCAAAGGAGUAAUUAAAAGGGAAACCGUGAUAACUAUAUUACAAGAACUUAUUACUCUUCAUAGCGAUGUACCUUCAUUAAUAUUAGAUAUUUUAAAUGUAAGUGAUGCGGAAACAUCUGUGUUUGAUGGACAAAAGGAAGAAUCUAAAGAACGUCAGAAUUUCUGUUACUUAGUUAAAGAAUGUGAAAAGUUUUUAUCAGACAAGCUGUUAAAAGAAAGGCUUGAAAUUGAUACCUUACAGGAAGUGGGUAUCCUAAAAAAUAGAAGCUUUUAUACAAAAUUUAUCAAGGUCAAAACAAAACUAUAUUAUAAGCAGCGAAAAUUUAACUUGUUUAGAGAAGAGAGUGAAGGCUUUGCUAAACUAAUAACGGAGUUAAAUCAAGAAUUCAGCCAGAAAACAUCACAUACACAGUUAUUAGAUAUAGUAAAAUCAUUAAUUGGCUGUUUCAACUUAGAUCCCAACAGGGUGUUAGAUGUAAUUCUAGAAAGUUUUGAAAACAAGCCUGAGGAUUCAAAGAUAUUUAUUCCUCUUGUUAAAUCAUACAUGAAUGACCCAAAAAUAAUUGCUGAAGUCUUGGGUUCAAAAUACACGUUUUAUCAAACUUCGGGAGAUUCUACAGUUCCUAAAGCACUAUACAUACUGACAGCUCAACUGUUACAACAUAACUUGGUAUACUUAGAUGACAUAUAUGUCUGGUUAACUCCUGAAGACAGGAUUAUGCACAAAGAAUGGGAAACGGACAUGCGUGCUGCUAAAGAGUAUGUAAGAAAAUUGCAGGUAAUAUCAUUAAACGCCAAAGAAAAGGAAGAUACUCCCGACGAAAAAGAAAAUUCUAUUGAUAAAUAUUCAAAUAAUCAGAAAUUAUGUCUUUGCGAAGCCCUGCUGGAAAUAGGAGAUUGGAACAAUGCCGCCCUCAUAAUAAGACGCUUACCUGAACAUUAUGCCCUGGAAUAUCAACCUGUCGCAAAAGCGUUAUGUAAUCUCUUAAAUUAUAUUAUCGAACCGGUGUACAGAGAAAAUUGUAAGUUGGGUAACAAGAUAAAAGGUAGACCCAUACAUCCACCAAAGACCCUUUCAAACUUGAAACUCGUCACCACUUUUCAAGAACUAGCUGACGUAGCAUUCCCGAUGUUAGUAACUCUAGGCCCUUCUUUGCGUUUCGAUUCGGUUCUUAUGUACAAAAUAAUUCGUGUGUGUCGUGCGGUAUUGGCAUCAUAUGGGAUUGAUAACGCCCACUGUUCACCUCCAGAAGGUGCUACCCUUUAUCACGAUAUUAUAACUCUCCUCGAUUCAACCGUAUUACCUGCAUUAUCGUACCUUGAUUGUAAUUGUUGCGUUGCUGAAGAAAUAUGGAACAUAUUGAAAUUGUAUCCAUACACAAUUCGAUAUUGCCUGUACAGUCGAUGGAAAAAUGAGACUUACGCCCUGUAUCCGGAAUUGUUAAGGAAACGAGGUGAUGCUGAGAAACAGAUCAAGAACAUCAUGAAACGGGUUAGCAAAGAAAAUGUAAAACCCGUGGGAAGGCAUAUCGGGAAAUUAACGCACAGUUCGCCGGGUUUCCUCUUUGAUUACGUUCUUUUACAAAUACAAGUCUACGAUAAUUUAAUACAUCCCGUUGUCGAUUCUUUAAAAUACUUGACCAGCCUCUCAUAUGACGUGUUGGGCUUCUGUUUGAUAGAGUCAUUAUCAAACGCAGACAAAAAGAGAGUUAAGCACGAUAGCACAUCUAUAUCAAAUUGGCUGCAGUCAUUGUCUAGUUUUUGUGGUGCUGUGUUCAAGAAAUACAAUAUAGAACUGACGGGACUGUUGCAAUAUGUAGCUAAUCAACUAAAAGCACAAAAAAGCUUGGAUCUGCUUAUAUUAAAAGAAAUCGUACAGAAGAUGGCGGGUGUCGAAGCGGCAGAAGAUUUAACUAUAGAUCAGCUCAAUGCUAUGGCCGGUGGAGAAUUACUGAAAGCGGAGGCCGGCAAUUUUAGUCAAGUUCGUAAUACCAAAAAAUCAUCUUUGCGUUUAAAGGAAGCAAUGUCUGAUCAAAAUCUCGCAGUCGCAUUGUGUUUAUUGAUGGCGCAACAGAAAUACUGUAUUGUAUACAAAGAGACACAAAAGAGUCACUUGAAAUUAGUCGGCAAAUUGUCCGAUCAGUGUCAGGAUACUUUAGUUCAAUUUGGCACAUUUUUGGGUUCUACUUUAUCCGUGGACGAAUACGUCAACAAACUACCUUCUAUACAAAGUAUGCUUCUCGAUUAUCACAUACCUAACGAAGUGGCGUUUUUCCUGGCUAGACCGAUGUUUAAUCACGCCAUCAACAUAAAAUAUGAUCAAUUACGAAAAACAGAUGGUAACUAUAAAAAAUUUUCUACUCAAGCCAGACAUCAAAAGUACAUCGAAGCUGUGAAAGAAAUAAUGGAGCCGAUUCAUAAAUCGGUCAUUCCGUUACACCCAGCUAAGGUUUGGGAGGAUAUUUCUCCUCAGUUUCUCACCACUUUCUGGUCUCUUACCAUGUAUGAUCUAUAUGUUCCUGAAGAGACGUAUCAACAAGUAAUCAACAAGAUUAAGCAACAGUCACUAUCAAUUCUCGACAGUAAUACGACCAAAGGUAAAAAGGAACAAGAACGUUACAUAACGUUAAUGGAAAAGCUACAAGAGGAGAAGAAAAAGCAACAUGAGCAUGUAGAUAAAGUUUUACACAGACUGAUGCAAGAGAAGGACUCGUGGUUCUUGUCGAAGUCUGUUAAAUCAGCCAAAAACGAAACAAUUACUAGAUUCCUACAGUUAUGUUUAUUUCCUCGUUGUACAUUUACCGCAGUGGACGCUAUUUAUUGCGCCAAAUUUGUUCAUACGAUUCACAUGCUGAAGACUGCAAAUUUUUCAACUCUGCUGUGCUACGAUAGGUUAUUCUGCGACGUCACAUACUCCGUAACAUCCUGUACUGAGAACGAAGCAAUGAGAUACGGUCGAUUUUUGUACGCAAUGUUGGAGACAGUUAUGCACUGGCAUAAAUCGAAGGAAGUUUUUGAAAAAGAAUGCGCCAAUUAUCCCGGCUUUGUGACGAAAUUUCGUGUUAGUAAUCAAUAUUCUGACAACUUAGACAAGGUUUGUUACGAAAAUUUCCGACACGUGUGCCACAAGUGGCAUUUUAAGCUUGCAAAAGCACUUAUCAUAUGCCUUGAAUCUAAAGAUUAUGUACAAAUCCGAAAUGCUCUAAUCAUCUUGAUUAAGAUUAUUCCAUUCUUCCCCGUAUUGUCAAAACUUAGUCAAGUAAUUGAAAAGAAAAUGGAAAAAGUUCGAGACGAAGAAAAGAAUAAGCGGCAGGAUUUGUUUACUCUCGCUACGAGUUAUUUAGGUCAAUUGAAACAAAGAAUCGCUGGCGGACACAUGAUGAAGGAAAGCGACUUCCAUCAAAUUCCCGAAAAAGAAAAAGUAUCCAAAAGUCAUUCUGACGGUUCUAAAUCUGAAAAUAAGCACAACGGAGAAGUGAAAAUUAUAGAAACGGACGAUUCAAAAGAAAAUUCAUCCAGAAGUUCCAAGGACAGGUCAGAAAGUAAAAGAAAUCGCCCAAAUGUAGAAGAUAUUUCAAAAUCUUCAUCAAAACAACAAAUAUCAUCUGCUAAUAAUUCAGAAACUAAUUUGACAAAAGACAAAAAUUCAGAUAAAGAAAGGACUCCAAAAGAAGAUAGUAAAGAUAAGCAUUCCAGAAAAGAAGAAAAGAGAGACGAGAUGGAGAGGGAUCGUGAUAGAGGAGGAGACCGUGAAAAAGAUCGAGAUCGUGAAAAGCGUAAAGAAAGGAAAGAGGAAAAAAUAUCUAUUAAAGAUGAUAGGUCGUACAGGGAGGAUCGUUUUAUUGAAAUGGUCAGUCCAAAAGAGGAUAUUCGAUACUCGACUGAUGGAGAUCGAUAUUACGACGAUCGUGGAACUAGCCAUUAUUACCAUGAUAUCCGUGAGGACAGAGAAAUAGGUGUCAGUAAUUCAAAUAGUUCGAGUGUGAGGCAGAGCCAGGAGACAGUGGAACCCGACAGAGACGUUAAACGAAGAAAAAUGGACACCACAUCCUCGAAGGUUAGUAUUGGAGUGAGAUAGCAUCGCUGCAUCUUUUAGGGUCCCCUCCCCGUGUUCCUCUUCAACUUUCUACUACAUACACUAUCCGGCGUUGUUGAGAAAAAAAAUCAAAAAACCACCUUGGGAGAUUGGGCUGAACUGAGUCUCUUUAAAAAUAGAAAAUAAAAGCUUAGUCGUGUUUUAAAGGAAAAGUGCUUCAAAUGAUAAGAGACUUGGCUAAUGUGUUAUUGAACUGUCAUCGCGUUCUAAAUUUAUGUGCUUUUAUGUUGUUCAACCGCGCGCUUCUACGUUUUGUUUUCUUUUAUGUUAUCGCGAUAUUUUAUUUUUCUUCGUUUAUUUGUCGAAGAAGAUGGAAGAGUUUGGAAAUAUCAUCAUUCAUUGGUUGUUUCGGAUCUUAGAAAAAUCUUCAGCACAGUUAUUAAUUUUAAAAUCACCUUUAAAAAAUUGGGAUCCAAAUAUUAAUCAAAGAGAAUAAUCAUCAUCGUACUUGAAGUACAGUAAACGAUCGAUCCUACCCAUAAAUCAUUUAUGGAUCACAUUAAAAUUGCUACUACCUAUUUUGUGGAUUUGGAAUUUAAAAAAACUAAUAUAUCAUGUGGAAAAUGAAGGAUGGCACUGCUAUUAUAAAACAAGAAAUAUUUUUAAAACCAAAAUCUGUGGACUGACGGAACAGAUAUUUAUCAAAAGAUGAAAUAAAAUUGAAAAAUGGUAUUUGGAAUAAUGAAAAGAAUACAUUCCGUGCCCAUGCAGAUGCUUUGAAAUUGCAGCAUUGUAUUCCGGAUUUCGUUAUGAUAUAAUAUCCAAUAUUUUCCUGUUGCUGUUACCAAUUUCCAUUAUGACGCCAAAAGUUGCCAAUUUCCAUUAUAACGUCAAAUUAGAAAUUAAGGAGUGUUAUUGUAUAACUUGGAACGAGAAGGAAGUCAUGAUUAAAAGCCGUCCAACUUGUCCAUUCCGAGAAGUUUUUGAUGCGUUUAUCUUUCAUCUUGAGUCCAUUCAUCAGCAGAAAUGAUGGAACUAUGGAAGAAGAUUAGCUACCGAAGAUACCUCGAUUAUUGUGACGAAUCUCUGAAGAUAUAUGCGGGGUUUCGUGCGAUUUGUUUAAAAGACCAAUAGUGUUAAAAAGAUUAUCAGCCCAAUCUUCCACUUUUGUUUUGGUAUGGGGUGGGAUCAAAUGCAGAGCUCUAAGUAUGAAGAACGCAAAGUGCAACAGCAAUCGGCCGAUUAUUACAUUGACAAACCCGAUAAAAAGGAGCGAUCGUCUAA
Molecule: unclassified non-coding RNA, 5913 nt
Filed under: Agrilus planipennis (emerald ash borer)
Lineage: Eukaryota; Metazoa; Arthropoda; Insecta; Coleoptera; Buprestidae
Description: tHO complex subunit 2, transcript variant X3
Source: RNAcentral